This 314-nucleotide ribosomal RNA is filed under the name uncultured eukaryote. RNAcentral's name for it is "partial 18S ribosomal RNA". It matches the Rfam family "Eukaryotic small subunit ribosomal RNA", at positions 1470 to 1796 of the family's 1831-position model. The record is from RNAcentral.
CCCUUAGACGUUCUGGGCCGCACGCGCGCUACACUGACCAGUGCAACAAGCAUCCGUCCUUGGCCGACAGGCCCGGGCAAUCUUUGAACGCUGGUCGUAUGGGGAUAGACUUUUGCAAUUUUUGGUCUUCAACGAGGAAUUCCUAGUAAACGCAAGUCAUCAACUUGCAUUGAUUACGUCCCUGCCCUUUGUACACACCGCCCGUCGCACCUACCGAUUGAAUGGUCCGGUGAAGCCUCCGGAUUGGCGCGCACCUCGGUGCCGCCGAGAAGUUGGCUAAACCUUACCAUUUAGAGGAAGGUGAAGUCGUAACA